Gavialis gangeticus (Gharial) is the source of this 315-nucleotide long non-coding RNA. RefSeq lists it as uncharacterized. The transcript is spliced from 3 exons. The record is from RefSeq and is a predicted model, not a curated record. NCBI's taxonomy places the organism in Eukaryota, Metazoa, Chordata, Crocodylia, Gavialidae.
GCCAGAAAACAACAUGGCAUUAACACUGCAGGAGAAUGAUUAUCAACAGAAAGAACUGGAAAAUCAUGAAGAUCUGUAUACACCAUUAUCUGAAUCCCAAGAGACUGUAAAUAAAGGCAAUAGUGAAAACAGUCCCUCUAGGCGAUUUUCACUUCUCAACAAACUAAUAACUACAAAAACUUCACUCUCUUCAGUAACAUCUGAACAUGAUUAUGAGACAAUACAGAGGAGGAGCAGAGGAUCUUUACGGAAGGACUUAGAUGCUACUGAUGAAAAAGAUGUGUACAGAAAGCCAAGCAAGGAAUGUGAAGUGGG